GACAGAGGGUGCAAGCGUUGUUCGGAAUUAUUGGGCGUAAAGCGCGCGUAGGCGGUCCGUUAAGUCGGGUGUGAAAUCCCGGGGCUCAACCCCGGAAGUGCAUUCGAAACUAGCGGACUUGAGUCCCGGAGAGGGUGGCGGAAUUCCUGGUGUAGAGGUGAAAUUCGUAGAUAUCAGGAGGAACAUCCGUGGCGAAGGCGGCCAUCUGGACGGUGACUGACGCUGAGGUGCGAAAGCGUGGGGAGCAAAC
RNAcentral lists this ribosomal RNA (250 nucleotides) under uncultured bacterium. RNAcentral's name for it is "partial 16S ribosomal RNA". It matches the Rfam family "Bacterial small subunit ribosomal RNA", at positions 524 to 773 of the family's 1533-position model. The record is from RNAcentral.